GUAACACUCCCUCCGUUUGGAAUUACUUGUCGCAGAAAUGGAUGUAUCUAGACGUAUUUUAGUUCUAGAUACAUCCAUUUCCGAGACAAGUAAUUACAAACGGAGGGAGUAUUUU
This is a non-coding RNA of Triticum urartu, 115 nucleotides long. The record is from Rfam. NCBI's taxonomy places the organism in Eukaryota, Viridiplantae, Streptophyta, Magnoliopsida, Poales, Poaceae.